This 31-nucleotide non-coding RNA is filed under the name Mus musculus (house mouse). Lineage: Eukaryota; Metazoa; Chordata; Mammalia; Rodentia; Muridae. The record is from RNAcentral.
UCAAAGUGAUAAUUAAAACAUAAUGUGUACC